Molecule: small nucleolar RNA, 152 nt
Filed under: Nannospalax galili (Upper Galilee mountains blind mole rat)
Lineage: Eukaryota; Metazoa; Chordata; Mammalia; Rodentia; Spalacidae
Source: RNAcentral
CUCCCAAUCUGUUUAAAAUAAUCAUGGGUUGAAGUCAUUAACUGGUUGAUGAACUCACAAGUGUAGGCAGUGUGCUACAUCAGGGGUAAUUUUUUCAUGAACACUCAGCUCUGGCCUGUGAGUGGAAUUUGAUAGUAACCUUUGCUACAAGU